Molecule: long non-coding RNA, 929 nt
Filed under: Malurus cyaneus samueli
Lineage: Eukaryota; Metazoa; Chordata; Aves; Passeriformes; Maluridae
Description: lncRNA (ENSMCSG00000011630.1)
Source: RNAcentral
AGGAUAUUCAGGACCUUCUGAUAGCCUGGGCGCAGCACCUGAAUGAGGCUCAGCGCAUCUUCCUCCGUGCCCCUCGUCAUAACCGUGUGCUGCUCUUUGGUGGCAGGAACCCACUCCUUACCCGAGGGGACCCUCGCAUCUGCCACAUCCCCCUCAGCACCCGCAGGGCCACCCUGCGAGAGGUGCUGCGAGUCCACACCACACUGGCCAGCCUGCAGGUGUAUGGGAAGGACACACCGCUGGAGGAGAUCACUAGGUCCCCCCGGAAGGUCUGGCAGAAGAGACAGCGGAGAGCAGAGGUGGAUCCCCCACAGGAGGACACAACUGCCCCAGAAGAGGAGGAGGAAGAGGAGGAGGAAAGCCUUGCAGGGGAACUGGAGACUGUGGAAGUGACACUGGGGACCUUGGACCUCCGGGAAUUUGAAGUGAUGCCCAAGCGAAACCGCAAAAGAAGGAAGAAGAAGGACAAGAAGGUGGAGAAAGGGCCUUGUGCUGAAGAGAGUGGAUACCAGUGUGGGCAGCCUGGCCUGGAGCCAGCAACAGAGCUGCAGGAGGAAGCUGAGGCUGGGCUGCUUCCCUGGAGCAAGGGAGGACACCUUCAGACCCAGCUCUGCGAUGCCCUGUUCACUGCCUGCAAGACAGGAGAUGUGCAGACACUGCGGCACCUCCUGGGUGUGCCAGAGAGCAGGGGUCUGCCAGAGGACAGCGAGGGUGGGAAGGACACACAGUCUGUGGAUAUGGCCCACUCCCUCCUGAACCAGCCUGUGGAUGAGCGUGGCUGCACCCUGCUUCACGUGGCAGCACGGGCAGGCAAGGCUGAGGCUGUGUGUCUGCUGCUGGAGGCAGGGGCAGACCCUGCCCUCAGGUACGGCUGCAGGACGCCCAGUGGUUCACAACCCCUGCUGUGGAACACCAGCAACUCACUCCUU